RNAcentral lists this ribosomal RNA (465 nucleotides) under uncultured bacterium. RNAcentral's name for it is "partial 16S ribosomal RNA". It matches the Rfam family "Bacterial small subunit ribosomal RNA", at positions 28 to 507 of the family's 1533-position model. The record is from RNAcentral.
GACGAACGCUGGCGGCGUGCUUAACACAUGCAAGUCGAACGGAAAGGCCCUGCUUGCAGGGUACUCGAGUGGCGAACGGGUGAGUAACACGUGGGUGAUCUGCCCUGCACUUCGGGAUAAGCCUGGGAAACUGGGUCUAAUACCGGAUAGGAGCCAUUUUUAGUGUGAUGGUUGGAAAGUUUUUUCGGUGUAGGAUGAGCUCGCGGCCUAUCAGCUUGUUGGUGGGGUAAUGGCCUACCAAGGCGGCGACGGGUAGCCGGCCUGAGAGGGUGGACGGCCACAUUGGGACUGAGAUACGGCCCAGACGCCUACGGGAGGCAGCAGUGGGGAAUAUUGCACAAUGGGCGCAAGCCUGAUGCAGCGACGCCGCGUGGGGGAUGACGGCCUUCGGGUUGUAAACUCCUUUCGCCAGGGACGAAGCUUUUUGUGACGGUACCUAGAUAAGAAGCACCGGCUAACUACGUG